GGUCCUGUAGUGAAUUAACAUAUUGAAUUGCAAAUUCAAAGAAGCAGCUUCGAACUCUGCCGGGGCUU
This 68-nucleotide transfer RNA is filed under the name Myotragus balearicus (Balearic islands cave goat). RNAcentral's name for it is "tRNA-Cys". It matches the Rfam family "tRNA". Rfam says of the family: Transfer RNA (tRNA) molecules are approximately 80 nucleotides in length. Their secondary structure includes four short double-helical elements and three loops (D, anti-codon, and T loops). The record is from RNAcentral. Lineage: Eukaryota; Metazoa; Chordata; Mammalia; Artiodactyla; Bovidae.